This 253-nucleotide ribosomal RNA is filed under the name uncultured bacterium. RNAcentral's name for it is "partial 16S ribosomal RNA". It matches the Rfam family "Bacterial small subunit ribosomal RNA", at positions 524 to 776 of the family's 1533-position model. The record is from RNAcentral.
UACGUAGGGGGCAAGCGUUGUCCGGAUUUAUUGGGCGUAAAGAGCGUGUAGGCGGCCAAGCAGGUCCGCUGUGAAAACUCGAGGCUCAACCUCGAGACGUCGGUGGAAACCGUUUGGCUAGAGUCCGGAAGAGGAGAACGGAAUUCCCAGUGUAGCGGUGAAAUGCGCAGAUAUUGGGAAGAACACCAGUGGCGAAGGCGGUUCUCUGGGACGGUACUGACGCUGAGACGCGAAAGCGUGGGGAGCGAACAGG